RNAcentral lists this ribosomal RNA (501 nucleotides) under uncultured bacterium. RNAcentral's name for it is "partial 16S ribosomal RNA". It matches the Rfam family "Bacterial small subunit ribosomal RNA", at positions 30 to 523 of the family's 1533-position model. The record is from RNAcentral.
AUUGAACGCUGGCGGAAUGCUUUACACAUGCAAGUCGAACGGCAGCACGGGUGCUUACACCUGGUGGCGAGUGGCGAACGGGUGAGUAAUACAUCGGAACGUACCCAGUUGUGGGGGAUAACGAGUCGAAAGAUUCGCUAAUACCGCAUACGACCUGAGGGUGAAAGCGGGGGACCGUAAGGCCUCGCGCAAUUGGAGCGGCCGAUGUCUGAUUAGCUAGUUGGUGAGGUAAAGGCUCACCAAGGCGACGAUCAGUAGCUGGUCUGAGAGGAUGAUCAGCCACACUGGAACUGAGACACGGUCCAGACUCCUACGGGAGGCAGCAGUGGGGAAUUUUGGACAAUGGGGAAACCCUGAUCCAGCCAUUCCGCGUGAGUGAAGAAGGCCUUCGGGUUGUAAAGCUCUUUCGGCAGGGAAGAAACGCUCUGGCUUAAUACGCCGGGGUAAUGACGGUACCUGAAGAAGAAGCACCGGCUAACUACGUGCCAGCCGCCGCGGUAA